Long non-coding RNA from Amblyraja radiata (thorny skate), 135 nucleotides. RefSeq lists it as uncharacterized. The record is from RefSeq and is a predicted model, not a curated record. NCBI's taxonomy places the organism in Eukaryota, Metazoa, Chordata, Chondrichthyes, Rajiformes, Rajidae. The transcript has 3 exons.
UCACACAUCCCAAGGAUGUGCAAAUGUGACUGUCAAUUGGCCCCUGUAAAUUGCCCCUAGUGUGCAGGGAGUCGAUGAGAAAAUGGGCUAACAGAGAACUAGUAUGAAAGGGUGAUCGAUGGUGAACUCAGUGGG